Carya illinoinensis is the source of this 2588-nucleotide RNA transcript. RefSeq lists it as uncharacterized. Lineage: Eukaryota; Viridiplantae; Streptophyta; Magnoliopsida; Fagales; Juglandaceae. The record is from RefSeq and is a predicted model, not a curated record. The transcript has 5 exons.
UCUCUCUCUCUCUCUCUCUCUCUCUCUCUCUCUCUCUCUCUCUCUCUCUCUCUCUCGGGUUUUUUUUUUUUUUUGAGGAAAGAGAAUAAAAAAGACAAACACAGGAAGCAGAGACAAGGAGAAAUGUCGGAAGCGAAAGACCCUGCGAUCAAGCUCUUGGGGAAGACGAUCCCGGUGCCUGAGAUCUCAAACAACAGAGUUGGAGAAGAGCGAGCGGCUGGCAAGUGGCUAGAAACCAUACUUUCCACUGCCUUGAGAAAAAAAAUAUGGUGAAGAAAGACAACUCAGUUCAAAAGUGGGUCUUCAGAGUUCCCAACCCCUUGCCUGCUUUACUCUUUGUACUGGAACCUUUUCUGAUCCUGUGGCUCGUAUUAAGAAGAUUAUGCAAGCUGAUGAGGAUGUUGGGAAGAUUUCCAUGGCUGUGCCUCUUUUAGUCUGUGAGUAAUUUGUUCAACUCUUAGCACUUUUUUUCCGAUUAUAUAUUUCUUAUUUCUAAUUAUUUUUUUUAAUGAUUAGUCAGUAGUUCACAGAUCUUUUUUCACCUUCAACAUUUAUCUUUUUCUUUGGGCUUUUGUUCUUCAUUUCAUGAAAAUAUGUUCUGGUUUUCUUAUUGUAUAUGAUAUUUAUGACCUGUUGUCGUGUAAUAUGCAGCUAAAGCGUUGUAGCUAUUUCUGCAAGAUCUAUGUGAUCGCCCAUAUGAAAUAAAAGUAGAAGAGAGGAGCAAAGACCUUGAAUUCUUUGCAUUUGUGAGCGAAAUUCCAUUAAUUAACAUUUAGUUUGUACAUAUCUUCUUUGGGACAGGAAUGAUUUAAGUUUUUACGGUUCAUUGAGUACCAAACUCUGUCCCAAUCUUUCAAAUACUAUUCCUGCACCUCUAUGUGUUUACUUCUUAUUAUUUGAGAUGGGCCUUUUGUACGUUGUUUUUCGAAUGAUAUGGUGGUUUGUACUGUUCCAAAUACCUAGAGAGAAAAUAGUUUUAGAUAGGAUUUAACUUCAAACUGGAUGUGGUGAAUAAAGGGGUUUUACACCUUCCAAUCACAUUUCGACACAUGCAUUUCAAGUGAGGUAGAAUGGAACUGCACACAGGAAAGCAAAUCUCAUUCAAUCCCCCGUUGCUGGGUUCCAACAUUCUUGAGCAAAGUUGAUGGGCAGGGAUAAUUUCUUAGUAUUGUCGAAGCCAUUCUUAUUUCACUUUGAUACAAAGAGCACCUACUUCUACUUUUGUUCCAGGAAAGGAAGAAUGUACAUGGUUGCCUAGGGAUGGGUUCUAGUUUGUGAUAUGGAGGGGAGAGAGCAGCGACCGCUGGGGCGCCGCCAGGGGGGGGGGGGGGGGGGGGGGGGGGGUUGAUAUGGAGGGGAGAGAGCAGCGACCCCCAGGGGGGUGGUUGAUAUUUACUUCCGUGUGGGGUUCCACAACUGCAAGGGGAUGAAGACUUUGAUAAUGAACUGGAACGGCUACUAUCAGAACCAUAAUGUCAAGGGCAUCUGUAGGAGAUUCAUAAAAGCUUGGUUCCUCCAUGAGCAAAGUUGAGGGGCAGGGAUAAUUUCUUAGGAUUGUCCCAAGCCAUUCUUCACUAUGAUACAAAAAGCACCUACUUCUGCUUUUGUUCCUGGAAAGGAAGAAUGUUCAUGGUUGCCAAAAGAUUGGUUCUACUCUGGGAGAAAGAGAGCAGCGAACCCUGCGCCCACCGCCGGGGGGGAGAGGGAAGAUUUGGGGAAAGAUUGUACUGUUACUGUUUUUAGAUGGUAAAUCUUAGCUGCUCUAAUAUGAUUGAUGUAUUUACGGGAAACAGAAUGUACAUUUAAUGUUUUGGAUUUUCUGGGGGAUAUCGUCAGCAAGGUUCCUGAUCUAGGUGGUUCUGAUGCUGCUGGUGAAGAUCUCAUUCUGCUACCAAAAGAAGGUUUGGAAAAACGUUGUUUUGUGACUUUUGGAUAGUGAAGAAAAAUGAGGUAUUUUAUGAGGAAUAUUUAAUACUUUGAUUCAGCAGGAAAGUUAGUGACAAUGAUGAAAAUGACAGUGAUGAUGAGUCCAAGAGAAGUAAGAUGGCGAGCUUCAAUUUGGAUGUUUGAUGGUGUAGAAUCUAUUUUUCCCCUAAACUUCACCAGUGGCUGUGGAACAUAUGUUUCGGAACUUUGAAUUGGAGGAGGCUGGCCACACAGCCAGCAGUGGCGGAAGAAGGGUAGGGGCAGAGGUAGAGAUCGUGGGCAGUAGUCGAACAGUUGAGAAAGAGGUGGCUGCUCACUCAAGCAAUAAUUGUUAAUGUUCCUGGUGUGGAAAAUUUGGUGGUUGGAUGUUGAGUUUCAAUGCCUAAAGCAGCAAAGCAAGUACAAAUUCACAUUAUUCAAUUUAAAUUGGUUAAAAGCUGAACCGAUUGAAUCAUAUGACUCGAUUCAAUUAUUGCUAUCAUCCAGUGGUUAGUUUUGGGUACUGGAUGAUAGGCUAUCAUCCAGUGGUAGGUGGUUACAUGUGGUAUGAUAUGUCAAGUAUAUUUUAUGGUACAUUUACCAUAAAUGAAUAUUCUUUUGUUGGUAGAUAAAAAUAUUUAAAAAAACAUUAAAUUCAUUUUAAAAAACUUUAAAUCCAGUCC